CCGGCGACCGGCGGACGGGUGCGUAACACGUAUGUAACCUACCUUUGACAGGGGGAUAACAUCGAGAAAUUGGUACUAAUACCCCAUAACAUCACCGGAGGCAUCUUCGGUGGUUGAAAACUCAGGUGGUCAGAGAUGGACAUGCGUUGUAUUAGCUAGUUGGUGAGGUAACGGCUCACCAAGGCGACGAUACAUAGGGGGACUGAGAGGUCAACCCCCCACAUUGGUACUGAGACACGGACCAAACUCCUACGGGAGGCAGCAG
RNAcentral lists this ribosomal RNA (265 nucleotides) under uncultured bacterium. Its description in RNAcentral is "partial 16S ribosomal RNA". It matches the Rfam family "Bacterial small subunit ribosomal RNA", at positions 88 to 354 of the family's 1533-position model. The record is from RNAcentral.